GUCCUCUUAAAAAGCCUAUUUCUUCUCACUUGCUGUAGCUCACUAGCGUGAAAAGUGAUUUAUGAACAAAUUUCCAUCUUAAAAUUACAUGACAGCUAUUUCUUAUCUAUUAUGUGUACAACACUACCCAUAAUCUUAUCAAUAAAAAAAAAUAUUAACUUAUAAAAUGGUCUUUUGGAUAAAUGUUGAUGUACAUACAAGCAUGACAAGUCAAAU
This 216-nucleotide long non-coding RNA is filed under the name Mytilus galloprovincialis (Mediterranean mussel). Lineage: Eukaryota; Metazoa; Mollusca; Bivalvia; Mytilida; Mytilidae. The record is from RNAcentral.